RNAcentral lists this ribosomal RNA (460 nucleotides) under uncultured bacterium. RNAcentral's name for it is "partial 16S ribosomal RNA". It matches the Rfam family "Bacterial small subunit ribosomal RNA", at positions 338 to 795 of the family's 1533-position model. The record is from RNAcentral.
CCUACGGGCGGCAGCAGUGAGGAAUAUUGGUCAAUGGACGAGAGUCUGAACCAGCCAAGUAGCGUGAAGGAUGACUGCCCUAUGGGUUGUAAACUUCUUUUAUAUUGGAAUAAAAUGUUCCACGUGUGGGAUUUUGUAUGUACCAUAUGAAUAAGGAUCGGCUAACUCCGUGCCAGCAGCCGCGGUAAUACGGAGGAUCCGAGCGUUAUCCGGAUUUAUUGGGUUUAAAGGGAGCGUAGGUGGAUUGUUAAGUCAGUUGUGAAAGUUUGCGGCUCAAACGUAAAAUUGCAGUUGAAACUGGCAGUCUUGAGUACAGUAGAGGUGGGCGGAAUGCGUGGUGUAGCGGUGAAAUGCUUAGAUAUCACGAAGAACUCCGAUUGCGAAGGCAGUUCACUGGACUGCAACUGACACUGAGGCUCGAAAGUGUGGGUAUCAAACAGGAUUAGAUACCCUUGUAGUC